CUUAAGUUAGCUUUAAAAAAAAAACAGUCUUGAAGUGCGACUCGAUUCUUAUCGAUAUGAUGAACAUGGAACUAGAUAGCGUACAAAAAGCUCAAAUCAGUCCCUCGUGUUGAUCAUGAAUAUAUAAAUUAUAAGGGAUCGGAGAUGUAUUCUGCUUCCUAAAUGCAUUUGCUCAAAACCAAAAGGCAGCAGCUCGUCAGAGGAUUAAAUCCCUUGAAGCAGGUGAGUGUGAGGAUAAAACAAGCUGCCAGGAAGACUUAUAAACAGAAAUGUAGGAGAUUGGAAGUCUUGGUGCUUCGAUGGCAUCAGGUUAGAAAGGAAGUCAGGUAUGAUAAAUUUCAGAGGCAGUUCUAGGCAUACGAUUCAUGAACUAAAAUCAAACAAAACACGCAUGGGACUUAUUUUAUAUCAAAAUAUUAAGAUUUAUUACGAUUUGUUACAA
This is a non-coding RNA of Drosophila virilis, 442 nucleotides long. Lineage: Eukaryota; Metazoa; Arthropoda; Insecta; Diptera; Drosophilidae. The record is from RefSeq and is a predicted model, not a curated record.